GACGAACGCUGGCGGCGUGCUUAACACAUGCAAGUCGAACGGACAGGCCCUGCUCUUGUGGGGUUCUCGUUUGGGGAGCGGGGGAGUAACACGCGAGUAAACUGCCCUUGUCUUUGGGAGAACUUCAGGGAACUGGGGCUCAUACAGGAGAUAAGCUCCUGCUGCGCGUGGUGGGUUGGAGAGUGUCGGCGGUGGGGGAUGGACUCGCGGCUUAUCCGCUGGUUGGUGGGGUAGUGGCUUACCAAGGCUUUGACGGGUAGCCGGCCUGGGAGCCUGACCGGCCACAUUGGGACUGAGAUACGCCCCAGACUCCUACGGGAGGCAGCAGUGGGGAAUCUUGCACAAUGGGCGGAAGCCUGAUGCAGCAACGCCGGGUGCGGGAUGACGGCCUUCGGGUUGUAAACCGCUUUCGCCUGUGACGAAGCGUGAGUGACGGUAAUGGGUAAAGAAGCACCGGCUAACUACGUG
Molecule: ribosomal RNA, 468 nt
Filed under: uncultured bacterium
Lineage: Bacteria
Description: partial 16S ribosomal RNA
Rfam family: Bacterial small subunit ribosomal RNA
Source: RNAcentral